This 255-nucleotide ribosomal RNA is filed under the name Escherichia coli. RNAcentral describes it as "partial 23S ribosomal RNA". It matches the Rfam family "Bacterial large subunit ribosomal RNA", at positions 1125 to 1378 of the family's 2925-position model. The record is from RNAcentral. Lineage: Bacteria; Pseudomonadati; Pseudomonadota; Gammaproteobacteria; Enterobacterales; Enterobacteriaceae. RNAcentral also lists the same sequence under 2 other names.
AAAGAAAGCGUAAUAGCUCACUGGUCGAGUCGGCCUGCGCGGAAGAUGUAACGGGGCUAAACCAUGCACCGAAGCUGCGGCAGCGACGCUUAUGCGUUGUUGGGUAGGGGAGCGUUCUGUAAGCCUGCGAAGGUGUGCUGUGAGGCAUGCUGGAGGUAUCAGAAGUGCGAAUGCUGACAUAAGUAACGAUAAAGCGGGUGAAAAGCCCGCUCGCCGGAAGACCAAGGGUUCCUGUCCAACGUUAAUCGGGGCAGG